UUGCCAAAUUGGUUAAGAGCUGAAAAGGCCAUUUUCCGUCUAAGUACACGCGUGGGGCAAUGCAGACAGGAAGCUCCGUCCUCUCGUAACCCAUCGUUGGAAAAUAUGAGAGAAUCCGGCUGAAAGUAGUUUCUUCAGCCAUUUAAAGAUAUGAUCGAAAAGACUAGGAAUUGCAAACCAGUUCAACAUACUCACAAAUGUUGGAGAGGAGUGGUAGCUACAUUAUCUCUCAUGUUGACUAAAUAUUGUUGAGGCUAUAAAAGAUGGACUUUCUGGACCUUCACCUGCUAGGAAUUGAU
Neltuma alba is the source of this 299-nucleotide long non-coding RNA. RefSeq lists it as uncharacterized. The record is from RefSeq and is a predicted model, not a curated record. The transcript is spliced from 3 exons. NCBI's taxonomy places the organism in Eukaryota, Viridiplantae, Streptophyta, Magnoliopsida, Fabales, Fabaceae.